GAGGGCAUAGCCCAAGUGGUAGAGUGCAUGCUUAGCAUGCAUGAGGUCCUGGGUUCAAUCCUCAGCACCUUCU
Molecule: transfer RNA, 73 nt
Organism: Camelus ferus (Wild Bactrian camel)
Lineage: Eukaryota; Metazoa; Chordata; Mammalia; Artiodactyla; Camelidae
Rfam family: tRNA
About the family: Transfer RNA (tRNA) molecules are approximately 80 nucleotides in length. Their secondary structure includes four short double-helical elements and three loops (D, anti-codon, and T loops).
Source: Rfam